AGAAAUAAGAGUGGCGCAAUGCUAUGAAAGAUGAAAUUGCAAGAAUUCAAAGGAAUGGAACUUUGGAAUGGGUGGAUUUUCCUAAAGAUAAUAAAGCUAUUAGAGUCGAAUGAGUCUUUAAAAUAAAGUUUCAAGCAGAUGGUAGUAUUCAAAAACAAAAAGCACGACUUGUAGUAAAAGACUAUUCACAACAACAAGGUGUGGAUUAUUAUAACACCUUUGGUCCUUUUUCAUGGUUUCAAAGCGGAUUAUUAUAACACCUUUGGUCCUGUUUCAUGGUUUCAAAGCUAUAAAGUUCAAGAAGUAGAAC
Molecule: long non-coding RNA, 310 nt
Filed under: Manihot esculenta (cassava)
Lineage: Eukaryota; Viridiplantae; Streptophyta; Magnoliopsida; Malpighiales; Euphorbiaceae
Description: long non-coding RNA (MESC_LNC010525)
Source: RNAcentral